This 77-nucleotide transfer RNA is filed under the name Pseudovibrio denitrificans. RNAcentral describes it as "tRNA-Arg". It matches the Rfam family "tRNA". From Rfam's summary of the family: Transfer RNA (tRNA) molecules are approximately 80 nucleotides in length. Their secondary structure includes four short double-helical elements and three loops (D, anti-codon, and T loops). RNAcentral also lists the same sequence under 13 other names. Lineage: Bacteria; Pseudomonadati; Pseudomonadota; Alphaproteobacteria; Hyphomicrobiales; Stappiaceae. The record is from RNAcentral.
GCACCCGUAGCUCAGUUGGAUAGAGCGCUGCCCUCCGAAGGCAGAGGCCAGAGGUUCGAAUCCUCUCGGGUGCGCCA